GACGAACGCUGGCGGCGUGCUUAACACAUGCAAGUCGAACGGAAAGGCCCUGCUUUUGUGGGGUGCUCGAGUGGCGAACGGGUGAGUAACACGUGAGUAACCUGCCCUUGACUUUGGGAUAACUUCAGGAAACUGGGGAUAAUACCGGAUAGGAGCUCCUGCUGCAUGGAGGGGGUUGGAAAGUUUCGGCGGGUGGGGAUGGACUCGCGGCUUAUCAGCUUGUUGGUGGGGUAGUGGAUUACCAAGGCUUUGACGGGUAGCCGGCCUGAGAGGGUGGCCGGCCACAUUGGGACUGAGAUACGGCCCAGUCUCCUACGGGAGGCAGCAGUGGGGAAUAUUGCACAAUGGGCGGAAGCCUGAUGCAGCAACGCCGCGUGCGGGAUGACGGCCUUCGGGUUGUAAACCGCUUUCGCCUGUGACGAAGCGUGAGUGACGGUAAUGUGUAAAGAAGCACCGGCUAACUACGUG
This 468-nucleotide ribosomal RNA is filed under the name uncultured bacterium. RNAcentral's name for it is "partial 16S ribosomal RNA". It matches the Rfam family "Bacterial small subunit ribosomal RNA", at positions 28 to 507 of the family's 1533-position model. The record is from RNAcentral.